RNAcentral lists this transfer RNA (72 nucleotides) under Camelus bactrianus (Bactrian camel). It matches the Rfam family "tRNA". Rfam says of the family: Transfer RNA (tRNA) molecules are approximately 80 nucleotides in length. Their secondary structure includes four short double-helical elements and three loops (D, anti-codon, and T loops). Lineage: Eukaryota; Metazoa; Chordata; Mammalia; Artiodactyla; Camelidae. RNAcentral also lists the same sequence under 2 other names. The record is from Rfam by way of RNAcentral.
GAGGGUAUAGCUCAGUGGUAGAGCACAUGCCUAGCAUGCACAAGGUCCUGGGCUCAAUUCCCAGGACCUCCU